GAUGAAGAACGUAGCGAAAUGCGAUACGUAAUGUGAAUUGCAGAAUUCAGUGAAUCAUCGAAUCUUUGAACGCACAUUGCACUUUCUGGUAUUCCGGAGAGUAUGCUUGUUUGAGUAUCAGUAAACACCUCAAAUCUCUUGUUUCUUGUGAAUAAGAGAAUUGGACUUGAGCAAUCCCAACUCUUGCAAAAGAGGCGGGUUGCUUGAAAUGCAGGUGCAGCUGGACAUUCUUCUGAGCUAAAAGCAUAUUUAUUUAGUCCCGUAAAACGGAUUAUUACUUUUGCUGCAGCUAACAUAAAGGUUGAAUGGCCAAUAUGGCUGACUGAUGCAGGAUUAACAGAGAAUUUAUUCUUUGUAAACUCGAUCUCAAAUCAAGUAAGACUACCCGCUGAACUUAAGCAUAUCAAUAAGCGGAGGA
This 418-nucleotide unclassified non-coding RNA is filed under the name soil metagenome. Its description in RNAcentral is "partial contains 5.8S ribosomal RNA, internal transcribed spacer 2, and large subunit ribosomal RNA". The stretch from base 1 to 120 matches the Rfam family "5.8S ribosomal RNA", at positions 35 to 154 of the family's 154-position model. The record is from RNAcentral.